Molecule: long non-coding RNA, 1331 nt
Filed under: Olea europaea (common olive)
Lineage: Eukaryota; Viridiplantae; Streptophyta; Magnoliopsida; Lamiales; Oleaceae
Description: long non-coding RNA (OEUR_LNC005733)
Source: RNAcentral
UCCAUCCCCGUUUUCUUCGGGGAAUUUGUUUUAAAUCAAUUUUAUUUCUAUUUGGUCAAUCUUAAAUAAUGGCAAGUUUACCAGUUUUAUUUCUAUUUGCAUUCAUUAAAAUUGUAAUAGCACGUGUCUAUGUUUCCUUUGUGAAAAUAAUGGCAAGUUUACCAGAUUGGAGGAAAUAUUUUCUCUUCGGAUGCGUAAUGUGCAAAUGAAAUUUCUUCUUAAUUGAUCACACUAUUUGAAUAUGGUGGGUUGAUUCUUGGAAAAAUACAUGAAGCACUUAACAGACGUAUUGUACCUAAAGUCUUUAUAUUGUGCCUAAAGUGCCUGAGAAGUGAAUACGAAUAAAUCAUUGAUCAUAGAUGACUGAUGGGAGGAUGAAUACAGCUCAUCAUCACUUUCGUUGCUAAAAAAAUGUUUUGAAGUAGAAAAGGGGAGAGAGAAAAAUACCCCUUCAUUAUUCACCAUUUCAUAUUUAUUGCAAAUAAGCUAAAUUCUAGUUGUAUAUCGAGGGUCUAUAUAAAUGUGUCGACUUAUAAUUUUCCUUCAUUAUUCACCAUUUCAUAUUUAUUGCAAAUAAGCUAAAUUCUAGUUGUAUAUGGAGGGUCUAUAUAAACAUGUUGACUUAUAUUUUUAUAUAAACUAACUUGGUUUGUAUUUAUUUCACAUUUGUUUGAACAUUGAUAUUUUUAUAUUAACGAACUUGGUUUAGGUUACGUAUUAAAAGUAGCAUAAUGUACUUUUUUGUGUUAUGUAAGUCGUUGUUCGGUAGGUUUUGUUCAUUUAAGUGUUAUUUACCAUAUUUCCUAAAAUAGGUACUGAAUCUCAUUUGCUUAUAGUUAAAAGUGGGAUCCAUGGACGAGUAACAAUUAAAAAUCUCCUCUUUACUUUUUGUGGAAUUAAUUAGUUGCAUUGUUCGGAGGAAAUACAGUUGUAAAAAAAAUAAAAUUAUGUACUUGCUUCUUUGGCCUCCGUACAUGCAUAAAUUUAUAUCUUACGUUCUCAAGCUUGUCAUUUGAUUAAUUGCUUAAUUUCUUCAAUGCUUUAAAAACAAUGUCGCCAAUGAGGAAAAAAUGCCCGUGAUUGAUGUUAUAUAGUUUGGGUACUUAAGGCUUUGGAUAAUGGAGUUUUGUCAAAAAUUAGCUGGUGGUUGUUAAGACUAAGCUCGUGUGGAAAAUUGUUAGGAAGAAAAUUAUGGAAGCUGAUGAGGCUGUUUUAGUUUUACUCACUGUUGAGGUUUUUAUUUUUAUUUUAUUUUAUUUAAAUGUAUUAGAUUUUUAGGUACUUUAGAAUUUUGGAUUUGAAUUUUGUAAGGAUAUUGUUACAUUUUGGAG